Molecule: long non-coding RNA, 300 nt
Organism: Myxocyprinus asiaticus (Chinese sucker)
Lineage: Eukaryota; Metazoa; Chordata; Actinopteri; Cypriniformes; Catostomidae
Exons: 3
Source: RefSeq, a predicted model, not a curated record
GUGACAGCACUAACAUUACAGAAAUCAACAUAACUACUGUGUGUUCUUUGAAUGAAACGGAAUAUCAGUGUAAAUGUGAGGAACAGUUUGUUUGGCCAAAUGACACGUGUCAUUCAUACGAGGCCUGUGAUGGCAUCAUUGAUGGUGCGUGUACAUGUAUUAAUGCCCUUCCAACCAAUGGACAGUUUUGCCAGUUAAAGGAAGUACCACCUUCUAGUUACAUUGUUGAUAUUGACAUGAGAUUGUUGGACAUGUUCCUGGCGAAUUACUUACGAAAUCUCAUCCCAAAUAUCAGUCUGC